Long non-coding RNA from Mauremys mutica (yellowpond turtle), 887 nucleotides. RefSeq lists it as uncharacterized. The transcript has 3 exons. Lineage: Eukaryota; Metazoa; Chordata; Testudines; Geoemydidae. The record is from RefSeq and is a predicted model, not a curated record.
GAAGCUUCCUGGGUCUUCCAGACAGAACAAUGGAAAAGCAGCUGCCUUCAACACCAAGGCUACUUCCUAGUACAAGAAAGGAAGGAACAUUUUCAGAAUGAAAGAAUAUGUCCUACACUUUCAACAGGUGUAAUUCAGCAUUACUUUGAAGUCAAAGGAGCUGCACUGAUUUACCAUGGUGAAGGAUGUGGCCCUAUGCAAACAAGGAAAGGACAAGAAACAAUAGUAGGGUUCCUGGGGCUGUUGUGAGAGAUGGAGGUGGUUCCCCCACUUAACUCAUGGAUCUGCCUGAUGUUCUGAAAGUGUUUUGUGCCCUGAAAUUGAGGGGAUAGAAGGUGAGCCACCAACACUGGUAAAACUUCUCCAGCAGUGCUGCUACCAGACAUCAGUACUCAGCAUGUAGAGCUAAUCCAGGAGAUGGAGCUUUCAGAGAACCUGGCAGAAAGUAAAAUCUGGUAAAAGAUAUAUUCUGCUGAACCUACAAAUUGUGAACCAACCAUGUAAACUUGAGGGGAUUAAUGGGAACUCUAGGCUCCAAGAAAUGUUUGGGCCAAGCACAAGCAUGGGUUUAUAGAGCUGACUGAGUCUGAUAAAAACACGAUACACGGGUAAAAUCUUUCCUUUGCUCAUCUAUGAGAAGCUGAGUUGAACUUUGCUGUGUAUUUGAUUGAUCCUGUUUUACUAGACACCAGCCAUGAUAUAGUGUUAUGUACGGGUGCUGUGGCUUUAAGAAACUAAUGUCAAAAGUACUGCAUAAUGCCUGACUGAAUUACUGCAAUGACCCCUCCUGGGACUACACCUGACUACCAUUUGGAAGUUCAAUUAUUACAGAUUGGCAGCUGAAUUGCUUAUAGGUAUUUCCUGCAGGGAAUUUACCAUGUGACACC